This 465-nucleotide ribosomal RNA is filed under the name uncultured bacterium. RNAcentral describes it as "partial 16S ribosomal RNA". It matches the Rfam family "Bacterial small subunit ribosomal RNA", at positions 338 to 795 of the family's 1533-position model. The record is from RNAcentral.
CCUACGGGUGGCAGCAGUAGGGAAUCUUCCACAAUGGGCGAAAGCCUGAUGCAGCAACGCCGCGUGGGUGAAGAAGGUCUUCGGAUCGUAAAACCCUGUUGUCAGAGAAGAAAGUGCGUGUGAGUAACUGUUCACGUUUCGACGGUAUCUAACCAGAAAGCCACGGCUAACUACGUGCCAGCAGCCUCGGUAAUACGUAGGUGGCAAGCGUUAUCCGGAUUUAUUGGGCGUAAAGGGAACGCAGGCGGUCUUUUAAGUCUGAUGUGAAAGCCUUCGGCUUAACCGGAGUAGUGCAUUGGAAACUGGGCGACUUGAGUGCAGAAGAGGAGAGUGGAACUCCGAGUGUAGCGGUGAAAUGCGUAGAUAUUAGGAGGAACACCAGUGGCGAAGGCGGCUUACUGGACUGUAACUGACGUUGAGGCUCGAAAGCGUGGGGAGCAAACAGGAUUAGAUACCCCGGUAGUC